UGGAACUGCAUUUGAUACUGGCAAACUAGAGUAUGGUACAGGAAUGGGGAAUUUCUGGUGUAGCGGUGAAAUGCGUAGAGAUCAGAAGGAACACCAAUGGCGAAGGCAACAUUCUGGACCAAUACUGACACUGAGGGACGAAAGCGUGGGGAUCAAACAGGAUUAGAUACCCUGGUAGUCCACGCUGUAAACGAUGAGUACUAGCUGUUGGAUUCGGUGUAAAGGAUCUAGUGGCGUAGCUAACGCGUUAAGUACUCCGCCUGGGGACUACGGCCGCAAGGCUAAAACUCAAAGGAAUUGACGGGGACCCGCACAAGCGGUGGAGCAUGUGGUUUAAUUCGAUGCAACGCGAAGAACCUUACCUGGUCUUGACAUCCUGCGAACUUUCUAGAGAUAGAUUGGUGCCUUCGGGAACGCAGUGACAGGUGCUGCACGGCUGUCGUCAGCUCGUGUUGUGAAAUGUUGGGUUAAGUCCCGCAACGAGCGCAACCCCUAUUGAUAGUUACCAUCAUUAAGUUGGGUACUCUAUUGAGACUGCCGCUGACAAGGCGGAGGAAGGUGGGGACGACGUCAAGUCAUCAUGGCCCUUACGACCAGGGCUACACACGUGCUACAAUGGGUAUUACAGAGGGCAGCGAAGUAGCGAUAUGGAGCGAAACUCAGAAAGGUACUCUUAGUCCGGAUUGCAGUCUGCAACUCGACUGCAUGAAGUCGGAAUCGCUAG
This 724-nucleotide ribosomal RNA is filed under the name uncultured bacterium. RNAcentral's name for it is "bacterial SSU rRNA". It matches the Rfam family "Bacterial small subunit ribosomal RNA", at positions 616 to 1338 of the family's 1533-position model. The record is from RNAcentral.